GCCCGUGUGGCUCAGUGGCUAGAGCAUCAGCCUGCGGACUCAAAGGUCCCAGGUUCGAUUCCGGUCAUGGGCA
This is a non-coding RNA of Myotis davidii, 73 nucleotides long. The record is from Rfam. NCBI's taxonomy places the organism in Eukaryota, Metazoa, Chordata, Mammalia, Chiroptera, Vespertilionidae.